Long non-coding RNA from Peromyscus maniculatus bairdii (prairie deer mouse), 606 nucleotides. RefSeq lists it as uncharacterized. The record is from RefSeq and is a predicted model, not a curated record. Lineage: Eukaryota; Metazoa; Chordata; Mammalia; Rodentia; Cricetidae.
UCAGCCCUUACUGGGACCAUACUUUAAAACUACAGGGGAGGUUUUGGCAGCACCCCAGGGUGCCUCCAGUUUUUCAGUAUGCUCCCAAGGAAAGGGCAAUGGGACUGGGCCAAGAGCAUCUGUUUGCAUUACGGACAGGCCGGUUUGGGAGGACAGGCUGCGGUGGCCUUCUGUGGGUCCACCAGACUGCAGCCCAACACAGGAAGCCAGAUCCACGUGCUCUUGUAGGCCACCAGGCACAUAAUGACUUCAUGGGCGUCACGGCGACCUGCAUGUCACAGCUCUUCCUCUACAAGCAAGCUAAUUAUCUUAAUGGCUGAAUUCUGUGCUCAAUUUUCCGUACAUGGAUCUUUAACAGAAGAGCCCAUAAGCAGGUCCACUUCCUGUCCUGAGAUGCCCUCCUCCUCUCCAGGCUGCCGCCUCUGAACUGGAGCUGAAGACAGAAGCUCGGCUGUGUUUGCAGAAGCCUGACGACGACGACGACGACAAGGGCUGGACAGGGACUGGGACAGUGAGGGAACUCUUAGGCAAUGCAGCCAACAGCUGCUCACCCCCUCUUCAGGGCUGCAGACAGAACGCUUGCCUAGCAUGGAGGAGACGUUUCCU